UACGUAGGGGGCGAGCGUUGUCCGAAGUUACUGGGCGUAAAGAGCGCGUAGGCGGGUUUUUAAGUGAGGGGUGAAAUUCCGAGGCUCAACCUCGGAACUGCCUUUCAUACUGGGAACCUUGAGUGCGGGAGAGGCGAGUGGAAUGGUCGGUGUAGCGGUGAAAUGCGUAGAUAUCGAUCGGAACACCCAUGGCGAAGGCAGCUCGCUGGCCUGUAACUGACGCUGAGGCGCGAAAGCGUGGGGAGCAAACAGG
Molecule: ribosomal RNA, 253 nt
Filed under: uncultured bacterium
Lineage: Bacteria
Description: partial 16S ribosomal RNA
Rfam family: Bacterial small subunit ribosomal RNA
Source: RNAcentral